Molecule: long non-coding RNA, 497 nt
Organism: Cervus elaphus (red deer)
Lineage: Eukaryota; Metazoa; Chordata; Mammalia; Artiodactyla; Cervidae
Exons: 5
Source: RefSeq, a predicted model, not a curated record
UGGAGGGGAGCGGGUAAAUGGGAAGUUGGAAUUUAGUUUGUAUAAGGUAUAGUUUGGGCCGAGGCAGAAAAGAAAGAGAGACGACCUCAGCGGAGCCUCCUCCUCUCCAUUAUUGAACACCUUGAAGGCUACUUCUAGAAGUCUCUUUCCGGGGGGCCUCAGGGCCCUUCUCUAGUUGUCGAAGCUUGCAUCUAAUGUCAGGGGCGGACUGGCUGAUGAACUGAACUUGAAGGUUUCAGCACCAAGAAUGUAAGGAGGGCCGAGGCAGAAAAGAAGGAGAGACGACCUCAACGGAGACCCAAAGACUCCUUCAGUUUGUAAGAUGAAGAGAGUUCUGGAGAUGGAUGGCAAAAAUGGUUACAUAACCUUGCUGUGAUUUUCUCAACGGUCAUCAUUCAAGAGCCAUCCUCAGAUUUUCUGUUCUGCGUUGAAGAACUUCCCAAUAUAUUUAGCGGAUAUUCUCUACAUGUCUUAUCUUAGUCUUAUCCUGAUUAAUA